GAUGAAGAACGUAGCGAAAUGCGAUAAGUAGUGUGAAUUGCAGAAUUCAGUGAAUCAUCGAAUCUUUUAACGCACAUUGCGCCCCUUGGUAUUCCAUGGGGCAUGCCUGUUCGAGCGUCAUUUGUACCUUCAAGCUCUGCUUGGUGUUGGGUGUUUGUCUCGCCUCUGCGUGUAGACUCGCCUCAAAACAAUUGGCAGCCGGCGUAUUGAUUUCGGAGCGCAGUACAUCUCGCGCUUUGCACCCAUAACGACGACGUCCAAAAGUACAUUUUUACACUCUUGACCUCGGAUCAGGUAGGGAUACCCGCUGAACUUAAGCAUAUCAAUAAGCGGAGGA
This 337-nucleotide unclassified non-coding RNA is filed under the name soil metagenome. RNAcentral describes it as "partial contains 5.8S ribosomal RNA, internal transcribed spacer 2, and large subunit ribosomal RNA". The stretch from base 1 to 120 matches the Rfam family "5.8S ribosomal RNA", at positions 35 to 154 of the family's 154-position model. The record is from RNAcentral.